CGUGCCUAGCAACCGUAGCUUCCCUUUGCAGACACACUCAACGGUUCCCUUGGUAACCGUGUGCACCUGCUGCUGCUGCUGCUGCUGCUUCAUGAUGGACGGAGGUGUUAUGCGAUAUUUUUGUUAUCCUUUUUUUAUUUGCUGAACUUUCUAAAUUGCCCUAAUCUUCUCUGAACUGGACUCGUCAUGUGUUGAUGCUCAUAGGCGUUACCGUAACUAUUAACGGUUAACGUACUUGAAUAUUGACAGAAGAGGAAGAGAACCUCGCUGAGGAGAAACAGGAGGAAGAGGAGCCUGUCAUCAGUGACCCAGAGCAAAAAGAGGAAGAAGAGCCACAGCGGACCUCCCCCUCGCCACCUCCAAGUCCUGAACCAGUUACAACCCAGCCCAAGGCUGAUCCAGAAUCAGAACCAGAAACCGACAUCAAGGAAGCCAAUGAAGACGCUGAGCCUGUAACCCAGCAGCCACAGAAAUCGAAGGCAGAUGGUCAAAGCCCAGAUUCUGACAAAGCUAGUGACAAAGAGGAGGAAGCUACUGGGGAAGGCUGUGGUGCUCCAGUCAGCUGUGAUGCAUUCAAGAGCUGCCUGAUGCGCAUUCCUCACACCUCAGAGUGCCUGGGCAACAUCAACGCGUACUUCAAAGAGAAUGGCAUUUCUGCCCCCAAACUACCCUCCAUGCCUGAGAUGCCCAAACAGCUUUCUGACGUCACCAAGUACUUACCCAGCCUACC
This is a long non-coding RNA of Labrus mixtus (cuckoo wrasse), 730 nucleotides long. RefSeq lists it as uncharacterized. The transcript has 5 exons. The record is from RefSeq and is a predicted model, not a curated record. NCBI's taxonomy places the organism in Eukaryota, Metazoa, Chordata, Actinopteri, Labriformes, Labridae.